UACAGAGGUCUCAAGCGUUGUUCGGAUUCAUUGGGCGUAAAGGGUGCGCAGGCUGCGUGGUAAGUCGAGUGUGAAAUUUAGGGGCUUAACCCCUAAACUGCAUCCGAUACUGCCAUGCUAGAGGACUGUAGAGGAGAUUGGAAUUCACGGUGUAGCAGUGAAAUGCGUAGAUAUCGUGAGGAAGACCAGUGGCGAAGGCGAAUCUCUGGGCAGGUCCUGACGCUCAUGCACGAAGGCUAGGGGAGCAAACGGG
This 253-nucleotide ribosomal RNA is filed under the name uncultured bacterium. RNAcentral describes it as "partial 16S ribosomal RNA". It matches the Rfam family "Bacterial small subunit ribosomal RNA", at positions 524 to 776 of the family's 1533-position model. The record is from RNAcentral.